Molecule: ribosomal RNA, 460 nt
Filed under: uncultured bacterium
Lineage: Bacteria
Description: partial 16S ribosomal RNA
Rfam family: Bacterial small subunit ribosomal RNA
Source: RNAcentral
CCUACGGGAGGCAGCAGUGAGGAAUAUUGGUCAAUGGACGAGAGUCUGAACCAGCCAAGUCGCGUGAAGGAUGACUGCCCUAUGGGUUGUAAACUUCUUUUAUCAGGGAAUAAAAUGUUCCACGUGUGGGUUUUGGUAGGUACCUUAAGAAAAAGGAUCGACUAACUCCGUGCCAGCCGCCGCGGUAAUACGGAGGAUCCGAGCGUUAUCCGGGUUUAUUGGGGUUAAAGGGAGCGUAGGUGGAAUGUUAAAUCAGGUGUGAAAGAUUGGGGCUCAACCGUCGUAUUGCAGUUGAAACUGGCAGUCUUGAGUGGAGGAGAGGUAUGCGGAAUGCGUGGUGUAGCGGUGAAAUGCUUAGAGAUCACGAAGAACUCCGAUUGCGAAGGCAGCAUACUGGCGGCCAACUGACGCUGAGGCUCGAAAGCGUGGGUAUCGAACAGGAUUAGAUACCCGAGUAGUC